Molecule: transfer RNA, 74 nt
Filed under: Synarthrophyton patena
Lineage: Eukaryota; Rhodophyta; Florideophyceae; Hapalidiales; Hapalidiaceae
Description: tRNA-Val
Rfam family: tRNA
About the family: Transfer RNA (tRNA) molecules are approximately 80 nucleotides in length.
Source: RNAcentral
GGAUGUAUAACUCAGCUGGAUAGAGUAUCAUGCUGACAUCAUGAAAGUCACUGGUUCAAACCCAGUUACAUCCA